Molecule: signal recognition particle RNA, 97 nt
Filed under: Escherichia coli
Lineage: Bacteria; Pseudomonadati; Pseudomonadota; Gammaproteobacteria; Enterobacterales; Enterobacteriaceae
Also listed under: 1 other name
Description: signal recognition particle sRNA small type
Rfam family: Bacterial small signal recognition particle RNA
About the family: The signal recognition particle (SRP) is a universally conserved ribonucleoprotein involved in the co-translational targeting of proteins to membranes. Archaeal SRP consists of a 7S RNA and homologues of the eukaryotic SRP19 and SRP54 proteins.
Source: RNAcentral
UGUUGGUUCUCCCGCAACGCUACUCUGUUUACCAGGUCAGGUCCGGAAGGAAGCAGCCAAGGCAGAUGACUCGUGUGCCGGGAUGUAGCUGGCAGGG